CCUACGGGAGGCAGCAGUGGGGAAUAUUGCACAAUGGGCGCAAGCCUGAUGCAGCCAUGCCGCGUGUAUGAAGAAGGCCUUCGGGUUGUAAAGUACUUUCAGCAGUGAGGAAGGGGGUGUCGUUAAUAGCGGCAUUUCUUGACGUUAGCUGCAGAAGAAGCACCGGCUAACUCCGUGCCAGCAGCCGCGGUAAU
RNAcentral lists this ribosomal RNA (194 nucleotides) under uncultured Gammaproteobacteria bacterium. RNAcentral's name for it is "partial 16S rRNA". It matches the Rfam family "Bacterial small subunit ribosomal RNA", at positions 338 to 524 of the family's 1533-position model. Lineage: Bacteria; Pseudomonadati; Pseudomonadota; Gammaproteobacteria. The record is from RNAcentral.